This 236-nucleotide ribosomal RNA is filed under the name uncultured bacterium. RNAcentral describes it as "partial 16S ribosomal RNA". It matches the Rfam family "Bacterial small subunit ribosomal RNA", at positions 100 to 339 of the family's 1533-position model. The record is from RNAcentral.
GGACGGGUGAGUAAUAUAUCGGAACGUAUCCAUUAAUGGGGGAUAACUAACCGAAAGGUUGGCUAAUACCGCAUACGCCCUGAGGGGGAAAGCUGGGGAUCUUCGGACCUGGCGUUAAUGGGGCGGCCGAUACCUGAUUAGCUAGUUGGUGGGGUAAAGGCCUACCAAGGCGACGAUCAGUAGCUGGUCUGAGAGGACGACCAGCCACACUGGGACUGAGACACGGCCCAGACUCC